Long non-coding RNA from Homo sapiens (human), 392 nucleotides. RefSeq lists it as uncharacterized. The record is from RefSeq and is a predicted model, not a curated record. NCBI's taxonomy places the organism in Eukaryota, Metazoa, Chordata, Mammalia, Primates, Hominidae. The transcript has 2 exons.
UGUCCUGAGGCUUCCACUCAACACACGCUAAAACCUCAAAGCAGACAUCAGUAUCAACAGAGAUCCUAGAGCAGCUUUUUAGAGCUGACUUGAGGAGAAGGUGAGGGGUCUCUUAAUACUAAUAGAGAGUGGGGGAAAUCUCAUUUAUUUUUUUUUCCAUUCUCUAGUGCCCCAGUCCCCAAUCAAUCUUUUGGUGGUAGCAGUAGUGGCAGCAGCAACAACAAAGAUACACAGAACCCAGACUCAUUCAGUAGAGGACGAGAUGGCUUGACUUCAGGGAAGAGACAACCUGACUUCAGGGAAGAUGACCUGCACUUUCCAACCCCUCUCCAGUUCCCCUCUCUGCUGACAGCCAUUUUCAUCACUCAAUAAAAUUCUCCACCUUUACUAUC